CGCGUGGGAAUAUACCCAAAGGUAGGGAAUAGCCUCUGGAAACGGAGAGUAAUACCCUAUGAGCCCUUCGGGGGAAAGAUUUAUCGCCUUUGGAUUAGCCCGCGUUAGAUUAGGUAGUUGGUGGGGUAAUGGCCUACCAAGCCUACGAUCUAUAGCUGGUUUUAGAGGAUGAUCAGCAACACCGGGACUGAGACACGGCCCAGACUCCUACGGGAGGCAGCAGUGGGGAAUCUUGGACAAUGGGCGCAAGCCUGAUCCAGCCAUGCCGCGUGAGUGAUGAAGGCCUUAGGGUCGUAAAGC
RNAcentral lists this ribosomal RNA (300 nucleotides) under uncultured Paracoccaceae bacterium. RNAcentral's name for it is "bacterial SSU rRNA". It matches the Rfam family "Bacterial small subunit ribosomal RNA", at positions 114 to 431 of the family's 1533-position model. The record is from RNAcentral. Lineage: Bacteria; Pseudomonadati; Pseudomonadota; Alphaproteobacteria; Rhodobacterales; Paracoccaceae.